GCUACUAAAUCUCCUACAGUACUACUUGUGCUUUGCAUUAAAAGUUUACUGCAUAACAUAUACUCCAAGAGUAAUGGGGUUAGGGUAACCUGUGCAACCUGUUGGCCUCAACUACAUGAAAGUAGCACAAUGCAUAGCAAGUACGGAAAACAUUGGCAGGCUCGCAGGCAAUGAUGCUGACUUUUGGUAUUGGAAAGAUUCUUAUUCAUUUCUACAAACGAAUGAUUUCUUGUGUCACAUUUGUUAUUUCCCAUCUGCAUUUCUCUUUGUGUAGAAGAAUUGCAAAGUUACAUUAAAGAAAGUGGAGGGGAAAUUGUUACAGGGAGAGUUUUGCAGCAUGUUAUGACAACAUUGUCUCCAACAGACUUUAAUAUAACAGUAAACGUCUUAAAGUAAAAAUAAGGUGUAAGGCUAACACAUAAUAA
Molecule: long non-coding RNA, 425 nt
Organism: Daphnia magna
Lineage: Eukaryota; Metazoa; Arthropoda; Branchiopoda; Diplostraca; Daphniidae
Exons: 2
Source: RefSeq, a predicted model, not a curated record